CGUGCUCGUGCAUCGAACUACUUACCACCUAUCCUUCUCAGUUACUUCACGGGCGUUUUUACGCUUUGAUGAUCGGAUUUGGGGUCUGUGUUGCGUACCUAACUAGAAGGUAUUGUCUAGUUCGAUUUCCACCGUUGUUCGCGGCAUCUCCUUUGCGGGGGAAGUCGUGAACACGAAAAUCGGCGCUUGUUUUCCUUUCGUCUUGGCAUUCGUUGCCUUGCUCGCUUUGGUGAAUAAGCUGUCGGUCGAAAUCUCGGAUGCGGAAAAGUUAUCGACGGUGACUCGAAGUAAUUCAGUCCCGCCAAAGCACAUCUGUCCCUAGGGCAAAAGAUGACGGUCAAGACCUCGCCCUUUCUCUCUUUCCUUAGUGUUUGCGGGAAUUGGGCGAGGAAUUGCCGUGAUCGAUGAAUGCUACC
RNAcentral lists this unclassified non-coding RNA (416 nucleotides) under Descurainia sophia. Its description in RNAcentral is "partial miscellaneous RNA". The record is from RNAcentral. Lineage: Eukaryota; Viridiplantae; Streptophyta; Magnoliopsida; Brassicales; Brassicaceae.